RNAcentral lists this ribosomal RNA (464 nucleotides) under uncultured bacterium. RNAcentral's name for it is "partial 16S ribosomal RNA". It matches the Rfam family "Bacterial small subunit ribosomal RNA", at positions 28 to 507 of the family's 1533-position model. The record is from RNAcentral.
GACGAACGCUGGCGGCGUGCUUAACACAUGCAAGUCGAACGGAAAGGCCCUGCUUGCAGGGUACUCGAGUGGCGAACGGGUGAGUAACACGUGGGUGAUCUGCCCUGCACUUCGGGAUAAGCCUGGGAAACUGGGUCUAAUACCGGAUAGGAGCCAUUUUUAGUGUGAUGGUUGGAAAGUUUUUUCGGUGUAGGAUGAGCUCGCGGCCUAUCAGCUUGUUGGUGGGGUAAUGGCCUACCAAGGCGGCGACGGGUAGCCGGCCUGAGAGGGUGACCGGCCACAUUGGGACUGAGAUACGGCCCAGACUCCUACGGGAGGCAGCAGUGGGGAAUAUUGCACAAUGGGCGGAAGCCUGAUGCAGCAACGCCGCGUGCGGGAUGACGGCCUUCGGGUUGUAAACCGCUUUCGCCUGUGACGAAGCGUGAGUGACGGUAAUGGGUAAAGAAGCACCGGCUAACUACGUG